RNAcentral lists this ribosomal RNA (403 nucleotides) under uncultured bacterium. RNAcentral describes it as "partial 16S ribosomal RNA". It matches the Rfam family "Bacterial small subunit ribosomal RNA", at positions 28 to 526 of the family's 1533-position model. The record is from RNAcentral.
GACGAACGCUGGCGGCGUGCCUAAUACAUGCAAGUCGAACGCAGUGGGGACGGGUGAGUAACACGUGGGUAACCUCCCAUCAGAGGGGAUAACACUUGGAAACAGGUGCUAAACCGAUACUGAUGGAUGGACCCGCGGUGCAUUAGCUAGUUGGUGAGGUAACGGCUCCACAAGGCCACGUUGCAUAGCCGACCUGAGAGUGUGAUCGGCCACGCUGGGACUGAGACACAGCCCAGAUGCCAACGGGAGGCAGCAAUAGGGAAUCUUCGGGAAUGGACGAAAGUCUGACCGAGCAACGCCGCGUGAGUAAAGAAGGUUUUCGGAUCGUAAAACUCUGUUGUUAGAGAAGCGGUAUCUAACCAGAAAGCCACAGCUAACUACGGGCCAGCAGCCGCGGUAAUUC